AUCCAUGGUCUCAUGGGGGCUGCCGCUCGUGGCUGUACCCCUUCCUAGACAUGGAAGAGCAGUACCUUGCUAAUUGGCAAGGCUUUUACCAUCUUGUUGGUAUUAGUAGUUGACUGUAGCAAGUAACACGC
Small nucleolar RNA from Apteryx haastii (Great spotted kiwi), 131 nucleotides. The record is from Ensembl. NCBI's taxonomy places the organism in Eukaryota, Metazoa, Chordata, Aves, Apterygiformes, Apterygidae.